UAUGGCCAGAUCACAUUGAAACACCUGCUCUCAUAUGAUCACCAAAGUUAAGCAUUGUUAAGCUUGCUUAGUAACUAGAUGGGUAACUGCUUGGGAAUACCAGGAACUGUAAG
Non-coding RNA from Acanthosepion pharaonis, 113 nucleotides. The record is from the annotation of a GenBank genome assembly. NCBI's taxonomy places the organism in Eukaryota, Metazoa, Mollusca, Cephalopoda, Sepiida, Sepiidae.